This 304-nucleotide ribosomal RNA is filed under the name uncultured bacterium. RNAcentral's name for it is "partial 16S ribosomal RNA". It matches the Rfam family "Bacterial small subunit ribosomal RNA", at positions 509 to 807 of the family's 1533-position model. The record is from RNAcentral.
CAGCAGCCGCCACGGUAAUACGGAGGGGGCUAGCGUUGUUCGGAAUUACUGGGCGUAAAGCGCACGUAGGCGGCUUGGUAAGUUAGAGGUGAAAGCCCAGAGCUCAACUCCGGAAUUGCCUUUAAGACUGCCGAGCUAGUAGGUGAGAGAGGUAAGUGGAAUUCCGAGUGUAGAGGUGAAAUUCGUAGAUAUUCGGAAGAACACCAGUGGCGAAGGCGGCUUACUGGCUCAUUCUAGACGCUGAGGUGCGAAAGCGUGGGGAGCAAACAGGAUUAGAUACCCCCGUAGUCCCUGUCUCUUAUAC